Molecule: non-coding RNA, 4889 nt
Organism: Gopherus evgoodei (Goodes thornscrub tortoise)
Lineage: Eukaryota; Metazoa; Chordata; Testudines; Testudinidae
Source: the annotation of a RefSeq genome assembly
AUGCGGGGUGGUACCGGCGGCAGCGACAGCAGCCAGGCGAGUGUGUGGAAGCCCUGGCCAUGCCGGAAGAGUGCGCCGGACUACGUCCUGGCGGGCGCAGCUUCGAACCCCACACCCCCCUCCAUCUUCCCCCUGGUUCCCUGCUGCACCAAGACUGACAAUGCUCCCCCGGACACAAGCUUGGCCUGCCUCGUAACGGGCUAUUUCCCAUCACCAGUGGAGAUCAAGUGGAAUUCGGGCAAAGUGACCGAGGGGGUCACAACUUUCCCAGAGGUGACGGUGAGCAACGGGCGCUUCACCCAGAGCAGCCUGCUGAUCAUCCCUGCCAGACCCCGGCAGGGCGACACCUACCAGUGCGAUGUGACACAUCAAGGGACAGCAACGACCGAGUCGAAGAAGUUCCCUCAGGAGUGGUGUGGUUUGACAAAGCCAUCCGAGGUUCACCUCCUGGUGCCCACCUGCGAGGAGAGCUCCACAGAGAGCCAGCUGGAGCUGGUUUGCCUCCUCCUGAGCUUCAAACCCGACCAAGCCAACGUGAAAUGGCUGGUGAACGGAAAGGAGAGCAGCCCCCCCACCCCGGCCUUUUCCUUUGCAAUGGCCACAGAUGGCUUCUACAUGGGGCAGAGCCGCAUGAACGUCACCAAGCAGAGCUGGGAGAAGGGGGACGUCUACACCUGCCAAGUUACCCACCCAGCAGUGGGAGCAGAGCUGUCCAUGCACAACACCAGCAAGUGCUUGGCCUGCCUCAGAAGCUCACUUGACCCAACCAUCUACUUAACCAAACCCUCCUAUGAAGAUGUCAUCAAAAAUUCUGGUCAUGUUACCUGUCUAGUUCUGGGCUAUGACUUAGCAGCCAGCAGAAUCGCAUGGAAAGUGGAUGGGCAAGUCAGCUUUGCGGUGAAGACAGAACCCCCCAAGAAGAACAGCAACGGGACCACCAGCCUGCUCAGUUCUCACCCUGUGUCACUGGCACAAUGGGGACAAGGCACCCAAUUUACCUGCAAAGUGACCACACCCUGUUCUGGAGAACUAACGCAGGACAUAACCAUGAGCAAUACAGGCAUCAGGAAGAAGGAGCCCUCAGUCACCAUCUCCCGAGCCUACCACGAAGACAUCUCCGGGAAUAGAGUCUCCUUGACUCUCAUCUGUGAAGCUAGUGGCUUUUACCCAGAAGAGAUCAGCAUCUCAUGGUUGAAGAACAACUCCCCAGAACUCAAGUCGAGUUACAAUAAUGGCCCUGUGUCAGGAAGUGGCAUUUUCUCUGCCUACAGCAUCCUGAAGGUUGACAAAAGUGUAGGAGCAGUAAAUUACACCUGCGUGGUGCAUCACCCAGCCAUGGAAGAGCCCAAGAAGGUUGUGGAAAAGGUGUCCCUCGAUUUCCUGGAGCCAUCUCCCCCAACAGUCACAGUCUUCCACACACCAGACAUAGGUGGGCAUGAGAAUCUGACCUGCUUUGCCACUGGCUUCUACCCAAAGAACCUAGACAUGCAAUGGACUGUCAACAAUCAGCAGCUCAGCUGCAGCUUUCCCUCCUCUCCGACGGCCCUGGGCGAUGGGAGGUUCCAGCAGAGCUGUCAGCUGGUGUUCAGAGCGGCUGAGAGGAGCACGCUGAAGCCCUACACCUGCACUGUGACCCAUAGCUCCACUAAGAUGAUCCUGAAGACGGUGCUGCACUCUACUGGCUGCCGGGAACCAGCAUUGCCAUCUGCCUACAUCCAGCCCCCAUCUUUGAAAGAGCUUUUCAUGAACAAAUCAGCUUCUGUGAUGUGCAAGACCUCCCUGGCCAAUGCCAGUAUCAACUGGACAAUGGACGGUGAGCUGGCGGACCUGGGAGCCGUGAGGAUGGAGCAACUCAACGGCAGCACCUGGCUGCAAAGUUGGCUGCAGGUCAACCUGAGUGAAUGGAACUCCACCGAGACCGUCAGAUGCCAGAUCAAGAGUGACCUGGCGGAGAAUGUGCUGGGCAUCAGCCCAAAGAAUGGUUCCUUGAAGGCUCCAACCAUCUACCUUCUGUCCCCAUCUUCAGAGGAAAUCUGCCGCAACCAAAACCUCACUCUUCACUGCGUCGUCAAAGACUUCUACCCUGGUGAGGUCUCCGUCUGGUGGCAGGAGAAGACAGCCCAGACGGAGGUCGACAUCCUGGCCGAUGACGAGAACCACAGCUGUGACCAUAACAGCCAGCAGUGCUCAAUGAUCAGCAAGCUUGAGGUGUCCAGGAGCAGAUGGAUUCUGGGGACUUCCUACAGCUGUCUAGUCGCCCACCUCUCCUCUGAAGGGAUUAUAGCAAGAAGUGUCAAUGUUCAUACUGAGUCCUGGCACUGCUCCGUCCUGGGCAUCAACCCCUGCAGCAUCCAAGACAACAGCAUGGAUGACUACAGUGAGUUGGACGAUGCCCAAUGCGUGUGGACCACGGUCUCCACCUUCAUCGCCCUCUUCCUCAUCACGCUCUUCUACAGCGGAUUCGUCACCUUCAUCAAGGUGAAAUAGGCACCACUUUCUCCACACAGUGAAGAAGAAGGGAUGGGGUCCAAUCUGCCCCUCUGUUUGCAGUUCUUUUGCCCACUUCCAUUUCCCUGCCUAUCCAUGGCGGCUGGCCUGACCUACAGGGUAGAUCAUCUGGCCAUGGUGAUCUCCCAUUACUUCCAGAGACACAUGAAGAAAGAACAUCAAAGAAAGGCCUUCACUGUUCCCGCCCAUUUUAUGAAGGCCAAGAACUAUGCAUACUGCAUGCUAAGGGAGAGAAAGUGGGUAAAGACGUCUCCCAAAAAGAUUCUUUUGAUAGUUCUCUGUUCCUUCUCUCAGCCUUACCAUAUCAGCUCCCUAACCCCUCAAAAAAUUACCUGAGCUCCCCUCUGUGCUGCUAAAUCUUAUUCUGUACUACCCCUCCUGAGAGUCUUAGGGGGUCACGGUUGGGGACCCAAUAUUCCCCCCCCCCCAUCUUUCACAGGGCUUCUAAGGUGGGAAACAAACCCCACUCCAUUCAAGGUUGCCAAGGACCCUGGGACCCCCUAGGGUAAUACACACAUACCCCUAGUCCUAGAACAGAGAUGGAGCCAGUUGCAACAAUCUUCAUCCAGAAAAAGCCAGCUCACAGCCACUCCAUGCUAUCCAACCUCGCAAGAAUUCAUCCUCGUUCUGUUUCUCCACUCAACCCCCUGAGAGCCGAACCUAAUGCUGCAGAUCCCGCACUGCACCCCACUGGAACCCAGCCUAAGGCCAUUGCCCCCAGGAGGUCCCCACUCUACCCAACAAGAUCCUAAUCCAAUGGUAUUGACCCCUCAAGUUCCUCACAUAACCCCACAAGAACCCAACUCCAUGCUGUUUCUUCUAACAAAGCCCCAACCCUAAAAGACUCCAAACUAAUGCUUUUCCUCAGUAAAUUCUCCCACUCAAUGCUGGAAGAAUCCAAUCCAAAUGCAUUCCCUACCCAUCCCUAGGAGGGUCACGGCUACUCCCCCAACAAAAUCACAACCCAACCUGACAAGAACCUAACCCAUACAUCUUCCAAUCCAUACGUAGCCAAACUCCACUCUUCCAGUCUGAGGCCAACUCCAAACCCAGAUCUCUCAUGACUAAAUUCUAAGCUGUUUCUCCCAUGCCAGUUACUCUCACAAUCUUUAAUGCCUCACAUCCCAUGCUACUGUAAUUGCCAUAUAUUCUGAGGUCUUGGGGCUUUUUGUACAAACGACAUGUAUUGAUUUACAUGCACCUGCAUUAUUUUCUGUUGCAUUGCAAUAGCCUGCAUUGUUUUGCUUUGCAUUGGCUUUCCUGAAUUUGCAUUGCAUUGCCAGGGACUGCAUAGUGCUGCAUUGUAGCAUGGCAUCAUGCCUUAUUGCAUUAUACUGCAUUGCUUGUACAUGGUGUUCUUUCAUGCUACCCUGUUGCAUUGCCUGGUAGUGCACCAAUUUAUACUGUGUUGUGCUGUCAAGUGCUAUAGAAACAUAGAAAUGUAGGCUUGGAAGGGACUUCGAGAAGUCAUCAAGUCCAGCCCCCUGGGCUGAGGCAGGACCAAGUACAUCUAGACUAUCGCUGAGAGGUGUUUGUCCAACCUGUUUUUCAAAACCUUCAAUGACGGGGAUACCACUACCUCCCUUGGAAGCCUAUUCCAGAAUACAAUGACCCUGGUAGCUAGAAAGAUUUUUCCUAACAUCGAACCUAAAUCUCAAUUGCUGAAGAUGUAUUUGUCUUACAUUUAUUAUUAUUAAUCGUGUUUAUUAUGGUUUUCUGUAGGACCAACCAAGGAUGGGGUCCCAUUGUGCCAGGGGCUGCACAAACACAGAGUAGCAGCCGUUCCCUGCCUGAAACAGUUUAUAGUCUCAACAGACAGACGCAAGGUGAGGGAAGGGGUAGAACGCGCCAGUACAGUGAAUGGUACGAUGGUGGCAAAUGACACGUUAGUGCCGCGAUUUUUUUAAGGUGGGUUUAAUUAGGAGGGGAUUAGCUAAAUGACAGACAAGUGCAGGGAGGUUGAAAGGACGGGAGGUGAGGGGGACAGUGCAGGGGAGAAGCGAGGCAGGUGUGAGGUGGAGUCAAGGUAAGGAGUAGGUGGGGGAGGAAAGGAGAAGGUUGGCGCAAACAGCCAAUCAGCACAAAAAGGAGAAAGUCCAGUUUGAAUUCCAGAAAGUUCUGUGACCAUGUGAAGGUCCCUGCUUUGUAUUGCAUUUGUUCACAUUGCAGCGAGCCUUUGCAUGGCAUUGUGUUGCACUGACUUGCCUUGUGAGUGGAGCUGUGUGAAUAACUGAUUUGGGGGUUCACUGGCCAGUCUGAAUUUAAAAAAAAAAUCAUUUGGGGUGGACCUGAACCAACAUUUUUCAGAAUUUCUGGCAAAUCAAAAAUUAAAAACUAUCAUUUCAGGUGAAACAAAAUUUGUUCAGCUUGAAAUAAAACAC